Molecule: small RNA, 108 nt
Filed under: Marmota monax (woodchuck)
Lineage: Eukaryota; Metazoa; Chordata; Mammalia; Rodentia; Sciuridae
Source: RNAcentral
GCUGGACAUGGUGGCACAUGCCUGUAAUCCCAGCAACUAAGGGGGCUGAGGCAGGAGGAUCAUGAAUUCAAAAGCCAGCCUCAGCAACUUAUUGAGGUCCUGUCUCUA